This 371-nucleotide ribosomal RNA is filed under the name uncultured microorganism. RNAcentral's name for it is "bacterial SSU rRNA". It matches the Rfam family "Bacterial small subunit ribosomal RNA", at positions 346 to 730 of the family's 1533-position model. The record is from RNAcentral.
GCGCAGCAGUCGAGAAACUUCCCCAAUGGACGAAAGUCUGAGGGAGCGACGCCGCGUGAAUGAAGAAGCCCUUCGGGGUGUAAAAUUCUUUUCUUUAGGAAAAUUCGUGAUGGUACUAAAGGAAUAAGGGGCCGCCAAACUCGUGCCAGCAGCGGCGGUAAUACGAGUGCCCCGAGCGUUAUCCGGAAUUACUGGGCGUAAAGCGCUAAAAGGCGGUUUUGAUAAGUCAGACGUCAAAUCUCCGAGCUCAACUCGGAGCCGGUGUCUGAAACUGCCUAACUUGAGGACGGAAGAGGCAAGCGGAAUGGCUGGUGUAGGCAGUAAAAUGCGUUAAUAUCAGCUAGAACACCAAUGGCGAAGGUCAGCUUGCU